Long non-coding RNA from Pipra filicauda (Wire-tailed manakin), 830 nucleotides. RefSeq lists it as uncharacterized. The record is from RefSeq and is a predicted model, not a curated record. The transcript has 2 exons. NCBI's taxonomy places the organism in Eukaryota, Metazoa, Chordata, Aves, Passeriformes, Pipridae.
CAAGGUGGUGUUGGGUCAAAGGCUGGACUCGAUGAUCUUGGAGGUCUUUUCCAACCUAGCUGAUUCUGUGACCUCAAUCACACCAGGUCCCCCCAAGUCACCAGAUGGGACUGUUUGUUUUCGUCUCCUACCCAUGCCCACGCAGGGACGGACCCUUAGGGGCUGCCCGCCCUCACCCCUCAGACAGUCUGCUCCCCGCAGGGGUCUGUCUGCCCACUCUGAGGGAAAUCAGGCAUCUGCUAAAAGAACUGUUUGUAAUGAAUAUUGUGUUGUUUUCAUAGAUCAACAUCCCGGAAGAGCUUUUACUCUUCCCAGGUUUUGCCCAGGUCUGGAAAACAGUUUGUAUUUGUGUGAUGGGCCUGGAAUAAAAGGGGAGGUUAAGUGUGAUCUCCCGGCUCCUCUCUGGCAGCCUGGUAUUCGUUUCAUGUGUUGCCCAAAAUUCCACUGACUUCCACAAGAAGUCAGGAACAAACCAACACCACCCCCAUUUUUCACACAGAAUUACACAAUCAGUUAGGUUGGAAAAGACCUCCGAGAUCAUCAAGUCCAACCUGUGACCAAACCCCACCUUGUCAAGUAGACCAUGGUACUAACUUUCUUCCAUGCCAUGAGCUAUGUCAGUCCACUACCAGCAGCAGCCUGUUACAGAAACAAUUCACAUCAAGAUAUUGAGAAUGAGGAUACAACAUCACCUAGUAGGACAAAGAGGCUAUGGAAACAAACAUGGACUAAUCCAGUGGCAUGCAGAUGUGAUGGAAGGACAUCCUGGUCACUCUGCAGCAGCUUUACCUGAGUAUGGGUUUCUUUCUAAUAUAGAUGUGAUUUGCGUU